RNAcentral lists this ribosomal RNA (229 nucleotides) under uncultured bacterium. Its description in RNAcentral is "partial 16S ribosomal RNA". It matches the Rfam family "Bacterial small subunit ribosomal RNA", at positions 568 to 796 of the family's 1533-position model. The record is from RNAcentral.
CGCGUAGGCGGUCUCUUAAGUCAGAUGUGAAAGCCCGGGGCUUAACCUCGGAAGUGCAUUCGAAACUAAGGGAUUUGAGUAUGGGAGAGGGAAGUGGAAUUCCUGGUGUAGCGGUGAAAUGCGUAGAUAUCAGGAGGAACACCGGUGGCGAAGGCGACUUCCUGGACCAAUACUGACGCUGAGGCGCGAAGGCGUGGGGAGCAAACAGGAUUAGAUACCCUGGUAGUCC